RNAcentral lists this ribosomal RNA (274 nucleotides) under uncultured bacterium. RNAcentral describes it as "partial 16S ribosomal RNA". It matches the Rfam family "Bacterial small subunit ribosomal RNA", at positions 523 to 796 of the family's 1533-position model. The record is from RNAcentral.
AUACAGAGGGUGCGAGCGUUAAUCGGAAUUACUGGGCGUAAAGCGCGCGUAGGCGGCUUAUUAAGUCAGAUGUGAAAUCCCCGGGCUCAACCUGGGAACUGCAUCUGAUACUGGUAAGCUAGAGUUUUGGAGAGGGAAGUAGAAUUUCAGGUGUAGCGGUGAAAUGCAUAGAGAUCUGAAGGAAUACCAGUGGCGAAGGCGACUUCCUGGUCAAAAACUGACGCUGAGGUGCGAAAGCGUGGGUAGCAAACGGGAUUAGAAACCCUAGUAGUCC